AAUACAUACCCUGGUAGUCCACGCCGUAAACGAUGUCGACUUGGAGGUUGUUCCCUUGAGGAGUGGCUUCCGGAGCUAACGCGUUAAGUCGACCGCCUGGGGAGUACGGCCGCAAGGUUAAAACUCAAAUGAAUUGACGGGGGCCCGCACAAGCGGUGGAGCAUGUGGUUUAAUUCGAUGCAACGCGAAGAACCUUACCUACUCUUGACAUCCAGAGAACUUAGCAGAGAUGCUUUGGUGCCUUCGGGAACUCUGAGACAGGUGCUGCAUGGCUGUCGUCAGCUCGUGUUGUGAAAUGUUGGGUUAAGUCCCGCAACGAGCGCAACCCUUAUCCUUUGUUGCCAGCGGUUAGGCCGGGAACUCAAAGGAGACUGCCAGUGAUAAACUGGAGGAAGGUGGGGAUGACGUCAAGUCAUCAUGGCCCUUACGAGUAGGGCUACACACGUGCUACAAUGGCGCAUACAAAGAGAAGCGACCUCGCGAGAGCAAGCGGACCUCAUAAAGUGCGUCGUAGUCCGGA
Molecule: ribosomal RNA, 520 nt
Filed under: uncultured bacterium
Lineage: Bacteria
Description: bacterial SSU rRNA
Rfam family: Bacterial small subunit ribosomal RNA
Source: RNAcentral